Vulpes vulpes (red fox) is the source of this 2507-nucleotide long non-coding RNA. The record is from Ensembl. Lineage: Eukaryota; Metazoa; Chordata; Mammalia; Carnivora; Canidae.
CCUCCGAUCUAACGGAAACCAGGCCCCACUCGGAGCUCGGGGCGGCCGGCAGGCGCAGUGAGGACGGAGCAGACAGGCCAGACGUGCUGGGCCCCCCAGAAGCCUUGUGGGACUGAAGGGCCCGAACAGAGGGAAGCCCACCCCCACCCCACAGCCGGCCGCAGACCCGCCCUGUGCCCUUCCCAUCACCCAGGGGGCAGCUAAGCCUCUGAUUUCUGGAAUGAGGGGGCCCGAGAGGGCCGGGCCGGGCAAGGCAGGGACUGGCCUCGGGCAUUGCCUCCUCCUCACCCCAAUCCUCAUCAGCUUUUCCUGGAGGAGGCUGCGGGCCUCCGGGCUCAAGCCCUGACGGUCCCCUCAAGGCUGACCGGGGCCCCAUGUGGGCUGAGGCCCCCACCCUCGUGAUCCAGGGCGCCAGGCGGGCUAGAGUCUCCCAGGAUUUCAGAGCCGGGGGCCCUCCUACAACACCCAGCCCUGCUCCUGCCUGCCAGCCCCACGCAUGGCUCUCCUGGGUAGCCGGGCAGCCCCGACUCCCGCUCCAGAGGCCCUUUCCUUCCAGUUUAGCAGAGAACCCCCGCGCCCCCUCCAGAUGGCCCUCCGUGCUCUGCAGAGCUGCUCCAUUCGCCCCUCAGAGUCCCAGACCUCCCCUGGGAAGCGUUUUCCUGGUUGUCCCUCUCCUGGGCCUCCUUUCACACCUCAGCACCCCAGGGCUUCGGGCCAGCGCCCCACCUGGACCCCGAGCUGCCCGGGGAGCUCCCCCACCAGAGGAACCUGCUCCCUCCCUCCCUGGGCUCCUCUUCCGGGCCCCAUGGCCCCACGCCCCUCCGCCCCUCCACAAGCUCACCUCCUGGCUCCUGCUCCUCCUCCUCUCGUUGGCCUAUGCCCACUAAUCGCAAAGGGAAAAACGGUGACUUUCAGGGAGGAGUGAGGCCGGCAGCCCCCUUCUACCAAGUGAGUGAUGGGAGUUAACAUUGUCAAUGGUGGGGGGGGGUGGCAGGAAAAUGCGGUGGUCCUCUGGGAGGAUGCACCGAGCGGGGCGCAGCAUCCCUUCAGGGCUGCAGAUGCAGGACCUGAGCCCAAUUGUGAAGAGACCACAUAAGCUCAAGUCAAGAUGCAUUUUACAAAAAAAAAACUGGUCUGUACCUGCCGAAAAUGGCAAUGUCACGAAAGACCAAGAAACACCGAAGGAAAGCACUUUCCCCGACUGGUAGAAAGCCAAGAGGGAAGACAAUGAAAUGCGAUACAGCGGCCAGGAUGCUCUCUGAUUAUCAAGGAUAUUAUUGGGGAAAUCGGCAAAACAGGAUGCAGGUCUGCGGCUGGUUACAAAUACGGCACCAAGGCUAAUCUCCUGACGGCGGUCGCUGCUCAUCUGGUUAUAGGAGAGGAGGCCCCUGCUCCCUUGUUCCGAGGAAAGAGAGGAGUGUGGACGGAGGAAGGAGCGUCGUGUCCGCAGCUCACCCUGGAACAGCUCGGGAGAGGUGAUGUAUAUACAUAGAAAAGAAUUUAGUAUCUGGCGAAAUAUUGACGUUGGGGAAAUCUAGGUGAAGAGAGUGGGAAAUAUUUGUAACGGUCUCCUUACUUUUCUGUAUGUCUGAAAUAUGUCAAAAAGCUGAAAGAAAAGUGCUAGUGUCUCAGAGUUCAGUCCUGGGCCUUCCUGUCAUUUUAUUUAUUUUUUUUAAGAUUUUAUUUAUUUAUUCAUGAUAGACAUAGAGAGAGAGAGGCAGAGACACAGGCAGAGGGAGAAGCAGGCUCCAUGCAGGGAGCCCGACGUGGGACUCGAUCCUGGGACCCCGGGAUCACACCCUGGGGGGAAGGUAGGUGCUACACCACUGAGCCACCCAGGAUCCCCUUCUGUCAUUGUAACCCGCCCUCCUGCCACCAGGGCAGUUGGCCUGCGGGUUCUUUCAGUCCAGGUGAGUCUACUCCAGCGAUGCCCAGACAGAUGUGCCCCUGGCCCAGGCCCGCGCCGGGGCUCGCAGCCCACCUAUCCCGUGUCCUACACGGGGCCACUGGCUCUCUCACAAGCACCCAAAAUCAACACACCCAGAGCUUUUCUCCCGAGAUGUCACCUGCCCCCCAUCUACCUCAAUGAAUGACGCCACCAGCCGUCCACAAGCCCCAGCUGGAAACCUGAAAACUCGUCACCAACAUCUCCCUCAUCCUUACUCUGCAUAUCCAGUCACCCCAUCACUCUGGGGAGCCUGGGAGCUCCCAAGGCUGGGCCCUGCCUCUUAGUCUUGUGUCCCCAGGGCCCAGCAGAGCGCCUGACAUAUAUGGUGAGUACUUAAGAAGUAUUUGUUGCGGGCUGCCUGGGUGGCUCAGCCGGUUAAGUGUCUGACUCUUGAUUUCAGUUCCGGUCAUGAUCUCAAGGUCCUGGAACCAAGCCCCGCAUCGGGCUCCAGGCUCAGUGUGCCGUCUGCUUGUCCCUUUUCCCUCUGCCCCUCUACCUACUUGCUCUCUCUCUCUCUCUCUCAAAUAAAUCUUUAAAAAAAGAAAGAAUGUUUGUUGAA